GUGUCAGCCGCCGCGGUAUACGUAGGGUGCGAGCGUUAAUCGGAAUUACUGGGCGUAAAGCGUGCGCAGGCGGUUAUGCAAGCCAGACGUGAAAGCCCCGGGCUUAACCUGGGAAUGGCGUUUGGGACUGCAUGGCUAGAGUACGUCAGAGGGGGGUGGAAUUCCACGUGUAGCAGUGAAAUGCGUAGAGAUGUGGAGGAACACCGAUGGCGAAGGCAGCCCCCUGGGAUGAUACUGACGCUCAGGCACGAAAGCGUGGGGAGCAAACAGGAUUAGAUACCCUGGUAGUCCACGCCCUAAACGAUGUCGACUAGUUGUUGGGGAACUUGAUUCUUCAGUAACGCAGCUAACGCGUGAAGUCGACCGCCUGGGGAGUACGGUCGCAAGAUUAAA
This 393-nucleotide ribosomal RNA is filed under the name uncultured bacterium. Its description in RNAcentral is "bacterial SSU rRNA". It matches the Rfam family "Bacterial small subunit ribosomal RNA", at positions 505 to 898 of the family's 1533-position model. The record is from RNAcentral.